CAGUAGCCGCGGUAAUACGUAGGUCCCGAGCGUUGUCCGGAUUUAUUGGGCGUAAAGCGAGCGCAGGCGGUUAGAUAAGUCUGAAGUUAAAGGCUGUGGCUUAACCAUAGUACGCUUUGGAAACUGUUUAACUUGAGUGCAAGAGGGGAGAGUGGAAUUCCAUGUAUAGCGGUGAAAUGCGUAGAUAUAUGGAGGAACACCGGUGGCGAGAGCGGCUCUCUGGCUUGUAACUGACGCUGAGGCUCGAAAGCGUGGGGAGCAAACAGGAUUAGAUACCCCUGUAGUCCCUGUCUCUUAUACC
This 301-nucleotide ribosomal RNA is filed under the name uncultured bacterium. RNAcentral describes it as "partial 16S ribosomal RNA". It matches the Rfam family "Bacterial small subunit ribosomal RNA", at positions 509 to 808 of the family's 1533-position model. The record is from RNAcentral.